AAACGUAGGGGGCGAGCGUUGGCCGGAAUUACUGGGCGUAAAGGACGCGUAGGCGGUUAUCCAAGUCAGGGGUGAAAACCGUGGGCUCAACUCAGGGCCUGCCUCUGAAACUGGGUAACUUGAGGGCCGGAGUGGGGAGGGGAAUUCCCCGUGUAGCGGUGAAAGGCGUAGAUAUUGGGAGGCACACCAGGGGCGAAGGCGGCUCUCUGGCCUAACCCUGACGCUGAGGCGCGAAAGCGUGGGAAUCAAACAGGAUUAGAUACCCGGGUAGUCCACGCCGUAAACGAUGGGUGCUAGGUGUAGGAGGUAUCGACCCCUUCUGUGCCGUAGUUAACACAAUAAGCACCCCGCCUGGGGAGUACGGCCGCAAGGUUGAAACUCAAAGGAAUUGACGGGG
RNAcentral lists this ribosomal RNA (397 nucleotides) under uncultured bacterium. Its description in RNAcentral is "partial 16S ribosomal RNA". It matches the Rfam family "Bacterial small subunit ribosomal RNA", at positions 523 to 918 of the family's 1533-position model. The record is from RNAcentral.